Molecule: long non-coding RNA, 473 nt
Filed under: Parus major (Great Tit)
Lineage: Eukaryota; Metazoa; Chordata; Aves; Passeriformes; Paridae
Description: lncRNA (ENSPMJG00000016865.1)
Source: RNAcentral
GUAGGCAAUUCCGAGCCAUAGGAGUAGCAGUAAAGGGACAGCAAGUGGAAGCCAGGAACAUGUGAAAUGCAUGGGUUUCUGUGAAACAGCAAUUCCUGCAAACACUUCCAAGACUACAGUUCAGUUGCAGUCUUGCAGAUGACACCUAUGUAGGUCAUUGUGGCUAAUUAUAUAUCUGAGAGCUAUUUUCUUUCCUGAAAAGGUGCGAAUAACUGAAUAGCUGGUUACCUCUCUGAGAUGGCAUGAGAUGACAAGAAUUAAUUACACUAAAUACAAGUAAUUUUAACCUUGUUAAGAGCCUACAUGAAAGAUAUAAUGUACAUUGGGACAGUGUAGCAAGUGUAUUUCCAUCAAAGAAGCAUCAAGACCCAAGAAUAUCCUUGACCUUUACGAACAGAUGUUGCUACUGUGGGAAAACUUUCAUCAAUAAAGAGUAAGUAUCAGUUAAGACCUUUCACCCUAACUUCAUUUAU